GCAGUCGUAGCUCAGUUGGAUUAGAGCGCCUCCCUGCGAAGGAGGAGGUCAUAGGUUCGAUCCCUAUCGAUUGCACCA
Molecule: transfer RNA, 78 nt
Filed under: Candidatus Peregrinibacteria bacterium
Lineage: Bacteria; Candidatus Peregrinibacteriota
Description: tRNA-Arg
Rfam family: tRNA
About the family: Transfer RNA (tRNA) molecules are approximately 80 nucleotides in length. Their secondary structure includes four short double-helical elements and three loops (D, anti-codon, and T loops).
Source: RNAcentral